This 311-nucleotide long non-coding RNA is filed under the name Callithrix jacchus (white-tufted-ear marmoset). Its description in RNAcentral is "lncRNA (ENSCJAG00000080570.1)". Lineage: Eukaryota; Metazoa; Chordata; Mammalia; Primates; Cebidae. The record is from RNAcentral.
UGCCUUUAAAAGCGUGCUUGUAACAAAGGCUGAAUGGAGCUCACAUUCAAGGUUUCUUGGGUCUAAGUCUUCUGGGAAGCUGUCUACGCUUUGGCUCAUGUAAACUCCUUAAAUCAUAUUUUGUGCCCACAGUCUUCUCCUUUUAUGUCAAGAGCCUCACUGGUCACCCAGGCUGGAGUACAAUGGCACCAUCCUGGCUCACUGCAACCUCCACCUCCUGGGUUCAAGCAAUUCUCAUGCCUCAGCCUCCCGAGUAGCUGGGAGUACAGAGCUAUGUCACCAUGCCUGACUAAUUAUAAUUUUUAAAAAAU